RNAcentral lists this ribosomal RNA (253 nucleotides) under uncultured bacterium. RNAcentral describes it as "partial 16S ribosomal RNA". It matches the Rfam family "Bacterial small subunit ribosomal RNA", at positions 524 to 776 of the family's 1533-position model. The record is from RNAcentral.
UACGUAGGGUGCGAGCGUUAAUCGGAAUUACUGGGCGUAAAGCGUGCGCAGGCGGUUCGCUGUGUCCGAUGUGAAAGCCCCGGGCCUAACCUGGGAAUGGCAUUGGAAACUGGCGGGCUUGAGGGCGGCAGAGGGGGGUGGAAUUCCGCGUGUAGCAGUGAAAUGCGCAGAUAUCAGGAGGAACGCCGGUGGCGAAGGCGGCUUGCUGGGCCUUACCUGACGCUGAGGAGCGAAAGCGUGGGGAGCGAACAGG